Molecule: ribosomal RNA, 255 nt
Filed under: uncultured bacterium
Lineage: Bacteria
Description: partial 16S ribosomal RNA
Rfam family: Bacterial small subunit ribosomal RNA
Source: RNAcentral
UACGGGGGGAGCAAGCGUUGUUCGGAUUUACUGGGCGUAAAGGGCGCGUAGGCGGUCAGCACAAGUCAGUUGUGAAAUCUCCGGGCUUAACUCGGAAAGGUCAACUGAUACUGUGCGACUAGAGUGCGGAAGGGGCAACUGGAAUUCUCGGUGUAGCGGUGAAAUGCGUAGAUAUCGAGAGGAACACCUGCGGCGAAGGCGGGUUGCUGGGCCGACACUGACGCUGACAGCGUGAAAGCCAGGGGAGCAAACGGG